RNAcentral lists this ribosomal RNA (561 nucleotides) under uncultured fungus. RNAcentral's name for it is "eukaryotic LSU rRNA". The stretch from base 208 to 361 matches the Rfam family "5.8S ribosomal RNA". Lineage: Eukaryota; Fungi. The record is from RNAcentral.
GUCGUACAGGUCUCCGUAGGUGAACCUGCGGAGGGAUCAUUACACAAAUAUGAAGGCGGGCUGGAACCUCUCGGGGUUACAGCCUUGCUGAAUUAUUCACCCUUGUCUUUUGCGUACUUCUUGUUUCCUUGGUGGGUUCGCCCACCACUAGGACAAACAUAAACCUUUUGUAAUUGCAAUCAGCGUCAGUAACAAAUUAAUAAUUACAACUUUCAACAACGGAUCUCUUGGUUCUGGCAUCGAUGAAGAACGCAGCGAAAUGCGAUAAGUAGUGUGAAUUGCAGAAUUCAGUGAAUCAUCGAAUCUUUGAACGCACAUUGCGCCCUUUGGUAUUCCAAAGGGCAUGCCUGUUCGAGCGUCAUUUGUACCCUCAAGCUUUGCUUGGUGUUGAGCGUCUUGUCUCUAGCUUUGCUGGAGACUCGCCUUAAAGUAAUUGGCGGCCGGCCUACUGGUUUCGGAGCGCAGCACAAGUCGCACUCUCUAUCAGCAAAGGUCUAGCAUCCAUUAAGCCUUUUUUUCAACUUUUGACCUCGGAUCAGGUAGGGAUACCCGCUGAACUUA